Molecule: ribosomal RNA, 497 nt
Filed under: uncultured bacterium
Lineage: Bacteria
Description: partial 16S ribosomal RNA
Rfam family: Bacterial small subunit ribosomal RNA
Source: RNAcentral
GAUGAACGCUGGCGGCGUGCCUAAUACAUGCAAGUCGAGCGAACGGACGAGAAGCUUGCUUCUCUGAUGUUAGCGGCGGACGGGUGAGUAACACGUGGAUAACCUACCUAUAAGACUGGGAUAACUUCGGGAAACCGGAGCUAAUACCGGAUAAUAUUUUGAACCGCAUGGUUCAAAAGUGAAAGACGGUCUUGCUGUCACUUAUAGAUGGAUCCGCGCUGCAUUAGCUAGUUGGUAAGGUAACGGCUUACCAAGGCAACGAUGCAUAGCCGACCUGAGAGGGUGAUCGGCCACACUGGAACUGAGACACGGUCCAGACUCCUACGGGAGGCAGCAGUAGGGAAUCUUCCGCAAUGGGCGAAAGCCUGACGGAGCAACGCCGAGUGAGUGAUGGAGGUCUUCGGAUCGUAAAACUCUGUUAUUAGGGAAGAACAUAUGUGUAAGUAACUGUGCACAUCUUGACGGUACCUAAUCAGAAAGCCACGGCUAACUACGUG